This 537-nucleotide ribosomal RNA is filed under the name uncultured bacterium. Its description in RNAcentral is "bacterial SSU rRNA". It matches the Rfam family "Bacterial small subunit ribosomal RNA", at positions 684 to 1222 of the family's 1533-position model. The record is from RNAcentral.
AAAUGCGUAGAUAUAUGGAGGAACACCGGUGGCGAAAGCGGCUCUCUGGUCUGUAACUGACGCUGAGGCUCGAAAGCGUGGGGAGCGAACAGGAUUAGAUACCCUGGUAGUCCACGCCGUAAACGAUGAGUGCUAGGUGUUGGAUCCUUUCCGGGAUUCAGUGCCGCAGCUAACGCAUUAAGCACUCCGCCUGGGGAGUACGACCGCAAGGUUGAAACUCAAAGGAAUUGACGGGGGCCCGCACAAGCGGUGGAGCAUGUGGUUUAAUUCGAAGCAACGCGAAGAACCUUACCAGGUCUUGACAUCCCGAUGCUAUUUUUAGAGAUAGAAAGUUACUUCGGUACAUCGGUGACAGGUGGUGCAUGGUUGUCGUCAGCUCGUGUCGUGAGAUGUUGGGUUAAAGUCCCGCAACGAGCGCAACCCCUUAUUGUUAGUUGCCAUCAUUCAGUUGGGCACUCUAGCGAGACUGCCGGUAAUAAACCGGAGGAAGUGGGAUGACGUCAAAUCAUCAUGCCCCUUAUGACCUGGGCUACACCG